GACGAACGCUGGCGGCGUGCUUAACACAUGCAAGUCGAACGGAAAGGCCCUGCUUUUGUGGGGUGCUCGAGUGGCGAACGGGUGAGUAACACGUGAGUAACCUGCCCUUGACUUUGGGAUAACUUCAGGAAACUGGGGCUCAUACCGGAUAGGAGCUCCUGCUGCAUGGUGGGGGUUGGAAAGUUUCGGCGGUUGGGGAUGGACUCGCGGCUUAUCAGCUUGUUGGUGGGGUAGUGGCUUACCAAGGCUUUGACGGGUAGCCGGCCUGAGAGGGUGGCCGGCCACAUGGGGACUGAGAUACGGACCAGAAGCCUACGGGAGGCAGCAGUGGGGAAUAUUGCAGAAUGGGCGGAAGCCUGAUGCAGCAACGCCGCGUGCGGGAUGACGGCCUUCGGGUUGUAAACCGCUUUCGCCGGUGACGAAGCGUGAGUGACGGUAAUGGGUAAAGAAGCACCGGCUAACUACGUG
RNAcentral lists this ribosomal RNA (468 nucleotides) under uncultured bacterium. RNAcentral's name for it is "partial 16S ribosomal RNA". It matches the Rfam family "Bacterial small subunit ribosomal RNA", at positions 28 to 507 of the family's 1533-position model. The record is from RNAcentral.